RNAcentral lists this ribosomal RNA (253 nucleotides) under uncultured bacterium. RNAcentral's name for it is "partial 16S ribosomal RNA". It matches the Rfam family "Bacterial small subunit ribosomal RNA", at positions 524 to 776 of the family's 1533-position model. The record is from RNAcentral.
UACGAAGGGGGCUAGCGUUGUUCGGAAUCACUGGGCGUAAAGCGCACGUAGGCGGAUGUGCCAGUCAGGGGUGAAAUCCCGGAGCUCAACUUCGGAACUGCCUCUGAUACAGCACGUCUUGAGUCCGGAAGAGGUGGGUGGAAUUCUUGGUGUAGCGGUGAAAUGCGUAGAUAUCAGGAGGAACACCGGUGGCGAAGGCGGGUCUCUGGGCCGAUACUGACGCUGAGGAGCGAAAGCGUGGGGAGCGAACAGG